This 1168-nucleotide long non-coding RNA is filed under the name Capra hircus (goat). RNAcentral describes it as "lncRNA (ENSCHIG00010007833.1)". Lineage: Eukaryota; Metazoa; Chordata; Mammalia; Artiodactyla; Bovidae. The record is from RNAcentral.
UGUAUGCCCAGCAGUGGGAUUGCUGGGUCAUAAGGUAGUUCUAUUUGAAAACCCACACAAUUUUAAAAGUUGAGAAUUGUGUUCUAUUCAGCAGAUUUUCUGAGGACUUAAGCCUGAAACACAGCCUCUCAGUUCUGAGGGACUGCUCCAAAGAAGUAAGAGAGGAAAGAGGAUUUUCUAAGAAAAAACAAGUGGCCAGAACAUCAGAAGACUACUUUUAGUUAAAGAAGAUCAGACAUCUCAAACUAAUUAAUUUAGUGUGUUUCUACUCAUGGGAAGAUGUAAGAGUCUAGGCUUAUUGAAAUCAUUCCUUUGACAUGUUCCUUAACUACGUAGGAUGAGUAUCCUGUUUUGUUUUGUUUUGUUUUCCAUCCUGAAUCCCCUCAGGGUGCACAGUCAGGGGCAGCUGCAGUGGCUGCUGGUUCGAUGUCUGAGACACUUCCUUUGUUUACGGAUAUGACAGGUAAUAUUUUUCAUCCACAAUAGAUUCUAACACCUGGUAGAUUGAGUCCUAUGGGCUUCAGCAUCUGGCCUGUGAGCCCUUCCCAUCUAAAUCUGAACAUCUUUCUAUCCCUUCUAAGGCAUGUAGCAGGCCUUAUAUCCCAAGGUUUAUAAAGCCAGCAACCAAAUGGGCACAAUCCAUACCAGCAGGAACACUGAGAAUGAAUAAAAAGGACAUUGAGAUUGUGAGAUAUCAGUCCGAUCAUGACUGUUGUUGGACAUCGCUCAUGUGAAUGUUGAGGUUAUCAGGUUGUGCUCUGAUAUGGUUUUUCAUUUGGGAUGCACAAGGGUCAGUCCUUACCCAUUAGAGUCAGGAAUGAAUAUCAUAUGAAAGAUAAAGUUUAUUCUUUCCGUCCAUCACCAGGGGGCGGUGGGUCUCCGGAGAGAAAGGACACCAUGUCUAGAAAGGGAUUAUCAGGUAGGUGAGAGAAGUCAGAAUUUGGGGGGUUUGGGGAUCUUUGACUGGGUUCCCACUAAGGGAAAAUCCUCAACUUUUAAUAACUAUGGCUCCUUAGGUCUAGGAAUAAAACAGACCAUGAUUUUCUGGAGUUAAAGAUUCUCAGGAGGUUUUGUUGACUUAAUUUCACCUUUGUGCAUUCUAUUAAUAGGAACAGGCCAUGGGUGUGUCAAAAAUACUUGUAAAAGGUUCCUCUUAUCUUUCUCACUC